Molecule: ribosomal RNA, 459 nt
Filed under: uncultured bacterium
Lineage: Bacteria
Description: partial 16S ribosomal RNA
Rfam family: Bacterial small subunit ribosomal RNA
Source: RNAcentral
CCUACGGGUGGCAGCAGUGAGGAAUAUUGGUCAAUGGGCGCGAGCCUGAACCAGCCAAGUCGCGUGAGGGAAGACGGUCCUAUGGAUUGUAAACCUCUUUUGUCGGGGAGCAAAAGACGCCACGCGUGGCGGUCCGAGAGGACCCGAAGAAAAAGCAUCGGCUAACUCCGUGCCAGCAGCCGCGGUAAUACGGAGGAUGCGAGCGUUAUCCGGUUUUAUGGGGUUUAAAGGGUGCGCAGGCGGAAGAUCAAGUCAGCGGUAAAAUUGAGAGGCUCAACCUCUGCGAGCCGUUGAAACUGGUUUUCUUGAGUGAGCGAGAAGUAUGCGGAAUGCGUGGUGUAGCGGUGAAAUGCAUAGAUAUCACGCAGAACUCCGAUUGCGAAGGCAGCAUACCGGCGCUCAACUGACGCUCAUGCACGAAAGUGUGGGUAUCGAACAGGAUUAGAUACCCGAGUAGUC